UCGUUCCCCUUUCUCAUUUCGAUAAGGCAGAGGAGAGAGCUCGAGCGGCGGAGGUGGGGGAGGUGAUUCCUUCUUUUCAUGGCGAUUCCGAGCUCUUCCAUCGCAGGAUUUUGAUCUCUUCUCCUUUCCUCUUCAUCCCCCGGCUGCCCUGGUUGCUUGUCCUUGUCUCUCCCAUUUUUGCCCGUGCUUUCAUGGCUCUGUAGUUCCAGAUCCAGGUGAUUUGGGGUCUCAUGGAUCCCCGGCAGGUGUUUGUUUUAUCCGCGGGAUGUGCAUGUUGCCGCCAUGGUGUUCUAGUCCACCAUGGUUGUGCGCCUGAGUUUUGGUUAGAGCUUGCAGCGCGCCAUGCGUAGUCCGCCAUGCCGUGGUCUUCUCUUUUUGUUGUGGACGCAGGCCAAAUCCCGCCUGGUUUGGCUUCUGUAGGCAAAAUCCUGGGGCAGUGUUCUGCUUUUGAUGUAAGUUUCUCUGUUGUUGAUGUGGAGGUAGGCAUAGUAGGCGUUAGUUUUCAGCGGUGGAUGCUGUAGCUUGACUCUGAAGAUCGGGUUCUGGUUGUUUGUUGGGGACAUUUUGCCGUCUUCUGGUGUCUUCUUUGGGGUUGUAGUUGUAGUUGUAGAUGGCUGCUCUUGUUUUGAUGUUCUAGCUCCUGAAUUUCGUCAUGUUGUAAUGUAUUUGUUCCCUGAUGUUUGUUCAUCCCGCUGGUUACUGAAUUUCUAUGUUCCAAAUGUUUCCUUUCUGCAUCUUCCUGAAUUUUCAUGCUUGUUUUUCAGUGUUCCCCUAUAAUAGGAGUGUAUGUUACACCGAGAUAUACAGAGUAUCCGCAUGCAGUUCUGUUGUGCAAUUUUUAACCCUAUUAGUUGCCCUAUAUAGAUUCCCUGUACCUUGUCCUGUAGAGCUUCACUGCAACCUCAUGCGUUCAGUGGUUUUGCCAUAGUUUCAGAGUAAUUUGUUUCAGUAGUCUGUAUGUAGCUUUUUCCUGUUUUUUUUAGUAAGCCCUAGUUUAUGGUGUAAUUUCCCCGUAUUAAACCCCUACUUUAGUGUACUCAGUGUAGCUUGUUGUUGCACUUUUUCGAUGUAGUAUAUCCCGUAGUUGGUUUUGUAGCCCUGCAUUUUCAAAGUGUAACCCCCCCCCCCCCCCCUUUUACUGUGGUGUAAAUCCCCGCAUAGGUAAUGUGUAAUUUGUUCUAUAGUUUCAUUGUAACCCUACACUCUUUCUCAGUGUAAUUCCCCCCUAAUUUGUGGUGUAAUUUCACUGUAAUCGCAUGUAUAAUUACACUGUAAUUUGUGCUGUAGUUGCAGUGUAAUUUUCUCUUAAUUUAGCGGCGUAAAUCCCUCUAUAACUAUUGUGUAGUUUGUCUUUGUUUUUUCACUGUAAUCCGAUGCAUAUUUACAAUAAGUGGUGUUAAUUUUACAGUGCAAUUUUCACUUCAUUUACAAUGUAAUUUUCUCUUGAUUUAGUGGUGUAAAUUUCUCUAUUAUUACUGCUUAGUUUUACCUGCUUUUACAGUGUAAUCCGAUGCAUUUUUACAGUGUAAAUUUACCCUUAUUUACUGCAUAGUUUGGCCUGCUUUUACACUGUAAACUGAUGCGCUCUUACAAUGUAAUGUUACCCUUAAUUACUGCGUAGUUUGGCCUGCUUUUACACUGUAAUCCGAUGUGUUUUUACAGCGUAAAUUUUACCCUUAAUUACUGCAUAGUUUAAACUGCUUUAUAUUGUAGUCAGAUGCCUUUUUACAGUGCAAAUUCACCUUAAUUACUGUGUAGUUUGUACUGCAGUUACACUGUAAUCCGAUGCCAUUUUACAGUGUAAAUUUAUAAUUACUGUGUAGUUUGUACUGUAGUUACACUGUAAUUCGAUGCCCUUUUUACAGUGUAAUUUUACCCAUAAUUAUUGUGUAGUUUGUACUAUAGUUACACUGUAAUCCGAUGCCCUUUUACAGUGUAAUUUUCCCAUAAUUACUGUGUAGUUUGUACUGUAUACAUUGUAAUCCUAUGCCCUUUUACAGUGUAAUUUUACCCAUAAUUACUGUUUAGUUUGUACGUUACUGUGUAACCCCACAUAUUUUCUUACAGUGUAAUUCCCCAUAAUUGCACUUCCAGUAUUUUUUUCCCAUAUUCACCGCAUUUUUCAGUGCCUAGUUCAUGCUUAUUUUCUUUGUUUUUUUGUCCUAGUAUUUUCUGUGCAAUCAUCACUAUAAGCCCAGUUUUGUCUUCCGUAUCUAUAUAAUUGAGCCCCAUUUCUUUGUUGUUUUUCAGCUAGUUUCUUAAUGGGUAGACUACGGAAAGUCUAUCCCAAGGAUGUUCCGCUAGUUUCUUCAGUUGAGAGUGCUGAUUCUUUGAAAGAUCCUUUCGUGCCUAAUGAUUUUGCUGAUGAUGGUUCUAAUGCUAUGUCUUUGAUUGUUCUGGUGAUGAUGAAGAGUUUGAUAAAGCUCUAUACAAUUUUUAUGUGAAUAAUAAAGUCAAUUACCUAAAGAGGAAAUUAUCAUCUGCUAGUAGAAGGAAUGUUAGGCAGGAACGAUCUUCUGAUUUCCCCGUUUGUUCAACAUUCACUAGAUAUUCUGGAUUUUUAGUUCUGUGUUGCACUAUAUCUUUGGUUACCUCAUCAUCUUUAUUUCUCAGCGUAUAAUAAUUGUUUAUAGCUACUUUUUCGUAGUUUAUUAUUUUUCAUUUUGCAUUCUUCUAUUUUAAUUUAGUUGUCUCUUCUUAUUUGUUGCAGUGUUGUUUUAUAGUUCUAAAGUUCUUGAAGAAUUGUUCAAACAACUAAAUCUUUUUGAGUGGCUACAAAGGGCUGCCUCCCAGGGAUUAGCUUCUGCUGCUACCUCUUCGCCUGUUGAAUCAUCUUCAUGCAUUUCUUGCCAUGUCUGCAGAGUAGUUCAACUUAUACUUUGUUAUUUCUGGGCAUUUGUAACUCACAUUUAGUAUGAGGUCUUCUAGUGACAUUGAUAGUAGAUCUUCUCCAGUUAUUGCUCGUUGCUUGCUGCCCCCUGCAAUUAAGUUUGAAGUAAUGUCAGUACAAUUGCAAAAAAUUGAAGAACAACACUGAUGGACUUUCUUAGCAACGCUCCGUUUGUUAGUAUUCGUAAUUGUUUUUCAGAUUGUAUAGUGUAUUUGUAUGCAGAGAGGUAAGUGUAUUUUCUUCUUUUUUAGUGUGUCCUGAAUUGUUCCUUUUGAGGAUACUGAAAUGUUGUUUUUAUCUAUUGAAGUUUUCAGUUUUCUCUGAUCAUGCCAAAUAUGCAGCUAGAUACCAACAGAUGUAUGCCCAAAUAUAGGAAAAAAUGGAAACGCCGACAAACAUUAUAGGAUUUCACUGGAUGUAUGUUCUCAGAGGAGUGUUUUUUACAGUGUAUUCCUGUUUGAUUUCAUCUUACCAGCACUCAAAACAGAGGUGGAAUAGUUCUGCUGUAGCUUGAGGAGUUGAAGAUUUUCAUGUACCUGCGAUUUGUCUCUGGGAUGAUCUUGUUGUGAUCCCCAAGUGACUGCUUGUGUUCUUCUUCCAGGUGAUUUUGUUCUCCACGAAAAGGAAAGGACAGGUGGCCCGAUCAGUUAUACUUUUGUUGCUGUUAGUUGCUUGACGGGUCAGAUUUUCAGCCCGACCCGUUUUCUUCGGGAAAAACAUACAUACAUACAAUUGUCGUAGGUUUUUUCAAUAACAGCUGUCAAUAGCUGAUUGGUUGGAAAACUUGAAUGAUAUCUAAUUACAAAUCAGUCGAAUGCCAAAUAGACAGUCCCAAAUUUAAA
Long non-coding RNA from Aegilops tauschii subsp. strangulata, 3732 nucleotides. RefSeq lists it as uncharacterized. Lineage: Eukaryota; Viridiplantae; Streptophyta; Magnoliopsida; Poales; Poaceae. The record is from RefSeq and is a predicted model, not a curated record.